This 774-nucleotide ribosomal RNA is filed under the name uncultured Neocallimastigales. RNAcentral describes it as "partial large subunit ribosomal RNA". It matches the Rfam family "Eukaryotic large subunit ribosomal RNA", at positions 26 to 616 of the family's 3401-position model. Lineage: Eukaryota; Fungi; Neocallimastigomycota; Neocallimastigomycetes; Neocallimastigales. The record is from RNAcentral.
CGCAUCUGUGCAUGCAGCAUAUCAAUAAGCGGAGGAAAAGAAACUAACAAGGAUUCCCUUAGUAACGGCGAGUGAAGCGGGAAGAGCUCAAAUUUGAAAUCUUCAAGGUUUUACCUUGACGAAUUGUAGUUUAAAGAAGUGUUUUCUGUUGAAGUUUUGGUAAAAGUUCUUUGGAAUAGGACAUCAUAGAGGGUGAGAAUCCCGUAUUUGACCAUUAUUUUCAGCUGUGUGAUACACUUUCAAAGAGUCGGAUUGUUUGGGAAUGCAGUCCAAAAUGGGUGGUAAAUUUCAUCUAAAGCUAAAUAUUGGCGAGAGACCGAUAGCGAACAAGUACCGUGAGGGAAAGAUGAAAAGAACUUUGAAAAGAGAGUUAAACAGUACGUGAAAUUGUCAAAAGGGAAGCGUUUGACACCAGUGUUGUUUUCUCGAAAAUCAAUUAAAAAGAGUUUGAUUUUGUUGUGUAUUGACCUUAACAGCUUGCAUUUCAAUUUUCUUGCUUUUUUUAAUGCACUUUUCGUUUAACAAGUCAACAUCAGUUUCUUUUGUUGUAAAGAGGUCAUUGGAAGGUGGCUUUCUUUUCGGAGAAAGUGUUUAUAGCCUUUGACUCCUGCAAUCGGAGAGACUGAGGUCUGCAGCGUAGAUCCUUCGGGGUUAGAUACAUUUGUGCUAAGUUAUAGCUUUUUAUAGACAACUUGUUGACUAUGAUUAGUCUUGUAGCUUACUCGCUUAUGCUAUUUUACCUACGCUUAGGAUGUUGAGCGCAUGUCUCUCUCU